Molecule: unclassified non-coding RNA, 564 nt
Filed under: Hevea brasiliensis (rubber tree)
Lineage: Eukaryota; Viridiplantae; Streptophyta; Magnoliopsida; Malpighiales; Euphorbiaceae
Source: RNAcentral
AAAAAAGCUUCGCUUUCAUUUUAAAAGCCUCAGAGAGGAGGUCCUUCCUCCUCACCUGUUACUGCUACUUCUAGUCUAUGUUAUGGAGAGUCCAGAUUUUUNNNNNNNNGACGCAUCUCGGCCGUCCAUUGGCUUCCCUAUUGGUACUGCCUUGCUCUUGAUUAUCGUCUUCACCUUGAGUUGUAUUUUCUCCUGCUGCUACCACUGGGACAAGCUCAGAUCAAACCGUCGCACUUCUUCCGACGACCCUGAUCCCGAGGUUGACAUCGAGGCUUUCAUUUUGCUUCAAAUCCGUGUGAGAUUUGGUAGGUGAAGCCUCAAAGCUUACCAGUAAUAAUGCCUGGAGAUCAGAUCCCGAAAUUUAUCGCAUUGCCAUGUCCGUGUGAGUCGACUCGAGCUGAGGAAGUAAUCGUCACGGUGCACAGACCGCCGUCGCCUAAACCGCCGCGAGUGCCGGUGCCUAUGUUUUAGUACGGAUUUACCGUAUUGAUUUUGUUUUUUUUUUUUUCAUAUUUUAGAAAAUUAAAAAAUGUAAAAGAAGAAGAAGAAGAAGAAGAAGAGUAG